GCUGGCGGCAGGCCUAACACAUGCAAGUCGAACGGAGUUAUAUUGUAGCUUGCUAUGGUAUAACUUAGUGGCAGACGGGUGAGUAAUGUAUAGGAAUCUACCUAGUAGUACGGAAUAAUUGUUGGAAACGGCAACUAAUACCGUAUACGCCCUACGGGGGAAAAAUUUAUUGCUAUUAGAUGAGCCUAUAUUAGAUUAGCUAGUUGGUGGAGUAAUAGCCUACCAAGGCAAUGAUCUAUAGCUGAUCUGAGAGGAUGAUCAGCCACACUGGAACUGAGAUACGGUCCAGACUCCUACGGGAGGCAGCAGUGGGGAAUAUUGGACAAUGGGCGAAAGCCUGAUCCAGCCAUGCCGCAUGAGUGAAGAAGGCCUUUGGGUUGUAAAGCUCUUUUAGUGAGGAAGAUAAUGACGGUACUCACAGAAGAAGUCCUGGCUAACUCCGUGCCAGCAGCCGCGGUAAUACGGAGAGGGCUAGCGUUAUUCGGAAUUAUUGGGCGUAAAGGGCGCGUAGGCGGAUUAGUAAGUUAAAAGUGAAAUCCCAAGGCUCAACCUUGGAAUUGCUUUUAAAACUGCUAAUCUAGAGAUUGAAAGAGGAUAGAGGAAUUCCUAGUGUAGAGGUGAAAUUCGUGAAUAUUAGGAGGAACACCANUGGCGAAGGCGUCUAUCUGGUUCAAAUCUGACGCUGAGGCGCGAAGGCGUGGGGAGCAAACAGGAUUAGAUACCCUGGUAGUCCACGCUGUAAACGAAGAAUGUUAAAUAUGGGAAGUUUUACUUUCUGU
This 779-nucleotide ribosomal RNA is filed under the name uncultured bacterium. RNAcentral describes it as "bacterial SSU rRNA". It matches the Rfam family "Bacterial small subunit ribosomal RNA", at positions 35 to 844 of the family's 1533-position model. The record is from RNAcentral.